GCUCAGGACGAACGCUGGCGGCGUGCCUAAUACAUGCAAGUCGAGCGGACAGAUGGGAGCUUGCUCCCUGAUGUUAGCGGCGGACGGGUGAGUAACACGUGGGUAACCUGCCUGUAAGACUGGGAUAACUCCGGGAAACCGGGGCUAAUACCGGAUGGUUGUCUGACCCGCAUGGUUCAGACAUAAAAGGUGGCUUCGGCUACCACUUACAGAUGGACCCGCGGCGCAUUAGCUAGUUGGUGAGGUAACGGCUCACCAAGGCGACGAUGCGUAGCCGACCUGAGAGGGUGAUCGGCCACACUGGGACUGAGACCCGGCCCAGACUCCUACGGGAGGCAGCAGUAGGGAAUCUUCCGCAAUGGACGAAAGUCUGACGGAGCAACGCCGCGUGAGUGAUGAAGGUUUUCGGAUCGUAAAGCUCUGUUGUUAGGGAAGAACAAGUGCCGUUCAAAUAGGGCGGCACCUUGACGGUACCUAACCAGAAAGCCACGGCUAACUACGUGCCAGCAGCCGCGGUAAUACGUAGGUGGCAAGCGUUGUCCGGAAUUAUUGGGCGUAAAGGGCUCGCAGGCGGUUUCUUAAGUCUGAUGUGAAAGCCCCCGGCUCAACCGGGGAGGGUCAUUGGAAACUGGGGAACUUGAGUGCAGAAGAGGAGAGUGGAAUUCCACGUGUAGCGGUGAAAUGCGUAGAGAUGUGGAGGAACACCAGUGGCGAAGGCGACUCUCUGGUCUGUAACUGACGCUGAGGAGCGAAAGCGUGGGGAGCGAACAGGAUUAGAUACCCUGGUAGUCCACGCCGUAAACGAUGAGUGCUAAGUGUUAGGGGGUUUCCGCCCCUUAGUGCUGCAGCUAACGCAUUAAGCACUCCGCCUGGGGAGUACGGUCGCAAGACUGAAACUCAAAGGAAUUGACGGGGGCCCGCACAAGCGGUGGAGCAUGUGGUUUAAUUCGAAGCAACGCGAAGAACCUUACCAGGUCUUGACAUCCUCUGACAAUCCUAGAGAUAGGACGUCCCCUUCGGGGGCAGAGUGACAGGUGGUGCAUGGUUGUCGUCAGCUCGUGUCGUGAGAUGUUGGGUUAAGUCCCGCAACGAGCGCAACCCUUGAUCUUAGUUGCCAGCAUUCAGUUGGGCACUCUAAGGUGACUGCCGGUGACAAACCGGAGGAAGGUGGGGAUGACGUCAAAUCAUCAUGCCCCUUAUGACCUGGGCUACACACGUGCUACAAUGGACAGAACAAAGGGCAGCGAAACCGCGAGGUUAAGCCAAUCCCACAAAUCUGUUCUCAGUUCGGAUCGCAGUCUGCAACUCGACUGCGUGAAGCUGGAAUCGCUAGUAAUCGCGGAUCAGCAUGCCGCGGUGAAUACGUUCCCGGGCCUUGUACACACCGCCCGUCACACCACGAGAGUUUGUAACACCCGAAGUCGGUGAGGUAACCUUUUAGGAGCCAGCCGCCGAAGGUGGGACAGAUGAUUGGGGUGAAG
This 1481-nucleotide ribosomal RNA is filed under the name Bacillus velezensis. RNAcentral describes it as "bacterial SSU rRNA". It matches the Rfam family "Bacterial small subunit ribosomal RNA". The record is from RNAcentral. Lineage: Bacteria; Bacillati; Bacillota; Bacilli; Caryophanales; Bacillaceae.